Equus caballus (horse) is the source of this 413-nucleotide long non-coding RNA. RefSeq lists it as uncharacterized. The record is from RefSeq and is a predicted model, not a curated record. NCBI's taxonomy places the organism in Eukaryota, Metazoa, Chordata, Mammalia, Perissodactyla, Equidae.
GCGUGACGUCACGCGCGGGCUUUAAGGCGGCCGCCCGGGAGCGCCCCGCAGUGCCGGCGCGCUGCAGGCCGAGCUGGAGGCUGUGCUGGCGGCUCGGUUGUCCGGCCCGGAGCGGCGUGGGAUCACCCAGCCUCUACCGUGAGCCCCAAGACCUGCACUUCAGCCGGAGCUCACCAUGGGGAACCACUUGACCGAGAUGGCGCCCACUGCCUCCUCCUUCUUGCCCCACUUCCAGGCCCAUGUGCCGGCCUACAGCGCUGUGGACGGCUCGGCCUGCAGCCCGGCCUUGAGUGCCUGUAUGAAAUGAUCCUCAAGAGGAAGAAGACUGAAGGUCUUUUGCUUCACCCUGUUUAUGAGCCCAAGCAGUACUUCCAGGUGUGAAAUGUGUUGCUUCCAGAACCCAAAGAGUUUCA